RNAcentral lists this small nucleolar RNA (119 nucleotides) under Dasypus novemcinctus (nine-banded armadillo). RNAcentral describes it as "Small nucleolar RNA SNORA51 (ENSDNOG00000026392.1)". It matches the Rfam family "Small nucleolar RNA SNORA51". Rfam says of the family: ACA51 is a member of the H/ACA class of snoRNA that guide the sites of modification of uridines to pseudouridines. The record is from RNAcentral. Lineage: Eukaryota; Metazoa; Chordata; Mammalia; Cingulata; Dasypodidae.
GGCCUCCGGGUGCUUACCACAGGCUGUGUUCUAGCACUGACUGUGCAGAGUGAGCUCACCCCACGUACACCUCAGCCCAGGCCUUGUGCCUGGCCUGCACUGUGAAUGGGGAGACAUGG